AUGUGUUCCAAUUUCUCGCCUUGCACCGACCAUCCAACGGACCAUAGACUAAACGACCACUGCCUGAAAGGACUAUGCUAUGUCCAGGGGAACCCUGGAAUUAAAAAAGGGCAAUCCUGA
This 120-nucleotide ribosomal RNA is filed under the name Triticum aestivum (bread wheat). Its description in RNAcentral is "partial small subunit ribosomal RNA". Lineage: Eukaryota; Viridiplantae; Streptophyta; Magnoliopsida; Poales; Poaceae. The record is from RNAcentral.